AUUGAACGCUGGCGGCAGGCCUAACACAUGCAAGUCGAGCGGAUGAAGGGAGCUUGCUCCUGGAUUCAGCGGCGGACUGGUGAGUAAUGCCUAGGAAUCUGCCUGGUAGUGGGUGAUAACGUCCGGAAACGGGCGCUAAUACCGCAUACGUCCUGAGGGAGAAAGUGGGGGAUCUUCGGACCUCACGCUAUCAGAUGAGCCUAGGUCGGAUUAGCUAGUUGGUGGGGUAAAGGCCUACCAAGGCGACGAUCCGUAACUGGUCUGAGAGGAUGAUCAGUCACACUGGAACUGAGACACGGUCCAGACUCCUACGGGAGGCAGCAGUGGGGAAUAUUGGACAAUGGGCGAAAGCCUGAUCCAGCCAUGCCGCGUGUGUGAAGAAGGUCUUCGGAUUGUAAAGCACUUUAAGUUGGGAGGAAGGGCAGUAAGUUAAUACCUUGCUGUUUUGACGUUACCAACAGAAUAAGCACCGGCUAACUUCGUG
This 484-nucleotide ribosomal RNA is filed under the name uncultured bacterium. RNAcentral's name for it is "partial 16S ribosomal RNA". It matches the Rfam family "Bacterial small subunit ribosomal RNA", at positions 30 to 507 of the family's 1533-position model. The record is from RNAcentral.